Molecule: ribosomal RNA, 499 nt
Filed under: uncultured Glomeromycotina
Lineage: Eukaryota; Fungi; Glomeromycota
Description: partial small subunit ribosomal RNA
Rfam family: Eukaryotic small subunit ribosomal RNA
Source: RNAcentral
CCAAUAGCGUAUAUUAAAGUUGCUGCAGUUAAAAAGCUCGUAGUUGAAUUUCGGGACCAUCAUGUCGGUCGUGCCUCGGUACGUACUGGCAUUGUUGGUUUCUCCCUUCUGACGAACCAUGAUGUCAUUUAUUUGGUGUUGUGGGGAAUCAGGACUGUUACUUUGAAAAAAUUAGAGUGUUUAAAGCAGGCUCACGCUUGAAUACAUUAGCAUGGAAUAAUGAAAUAGGACGUUUGAUUCUAUUUUGUUGGUUUCUAGGAUCGACGUAAUGAUUAAUAGGGAUAGUUGGGGGCAUUAGUAUUCAAUUGUAAGAGGUGAAAUUCUUGGAUUUAUUGAAGACUAACUACUGCGAAAGCAUUUGCCAAGGAUGUUUUCAUUAAUCAAGAACGAAAGUUAGGGGAUCGAAGACGAUCAGAUACCGUCGUAGUCUUAACCAUAAACUAUGCCGACUAGGGAUCGGAUGAUGUUGAUUUUUUAAUGACUCAUUCGGCGCCUUACG